AGUGAACGCUGGCGGUAGGCCUAACACAUGCAAGUCGAACGGCAACACCGUAAGAGCUUGCUCUUACGGGUGGCGAGUGGCGGACGGGUGAGGAAUACAUCGCAAUCUACUUUUUCGUGGGGGGUAACGUAGGGAAACUUACGCUAAUACCGCCUACGACCUACGGGUGAAAGCACGAGAUCUUCGGACCUUGCGCGAUGGCAUGAGCCGAUGUCGGAUUAGUUAGCUGGCGGGGUAAAGGCCCACCAAGGCGACGAUCCGUCGCUGGUCUGAGAGGAUGAUCAGCUACACUGGAACUGAGACACGGUCCAGACUCCUACGGGAGGCAGCAGUGGGGUAUAGUGGACAAUGGGCGCAAGCCUGAUCCAGCCAUGCCGCGUGGGUGAAGAAGGCCUUCGGGUUGUAGAGCCCUUUUGUUGUGAAAGAAAAGCAGCAGGUGAAUACCCCGCUGUUCUGACGGUACCCAAAGAAUAAGCACCGGCUAACUUCGUG
This 492-nucleotide ribosomal RNA is filed under the name uncultured bacterium. RNAcentral's name for it is "partial 16S ribosomal RNA". It matches the Rfam family "Bacterial small subunit ribosomal RNA", at positions 29 to 507 of the family's 1533-position model. The record is from RNAcentral.